UUUUUUUUUGUGUUGAACCUGAGAAGAUUCCUCUUCCCUGCCCAGAAAAGGAUGACAAAGCUGUGCCUGACUGUGUAUUUUGCUCCCUAGACUGGGGAUUGCCCCCCCGGCUAUACUUGCCCACCGGGGACUGGAUUCCCUUUCUCUUUCCCCUGUGUGCCGGGAUUCUCCUGGGAUAACUCCACUGUAGAGGGUGAAGGCAUUUGCAUACCAUGCCCAGCUGGGCACUACUGUGACUCUCCUGCCAUGUUGGAGCCCAAAGCCUGCCCAGUGGUAAGUUCUUUUGUCUUGGUUGUCUGAUGGAAGGAGCUGAUGAUAAGUGGUAUGUGGAAGUCUGUUUAAUGGAAGAGCCUCCAGUGCUGUAUUAAGCUGUUUUUUUUUUUGUAGGGCUUUUACUGCGUCAGAGGCAGCUCUCAACCAGAGCCCUGUCCGGAGGGUACAUACAGUAACAGGAAGGGGCUAUCUGGACCCUCAGAGUGCAGCCCAUGUGGCCGUGGCUUCUACUGUGCUGCUCCAGGCCAGACUGCACCAAGCGGCCCCUGCAACCCUGGAUUCUACUGCCAGGGUAGAGCUCUGACUCCACUGCCCACAGAUGGUGUGACAGGAGAUGUGUGCCCUGCUGGGACCUACUGCCCACCUGGCUCCGCCUUACCUAUCCCCUGCCCUCCAGGAACCUACAGUAACAUAAGUGGGUUGAGGAGCCUUCGGCAGUGCUUGGACUGCCCGCCUGGGUGAGUGUCAUCUUUGUAGAACGUGACUCGGUUUUGUUCCAUUGCAAAGGGAUUGUUUUCGCUUUGCUGUGUGAAUCCAGCCGUGUAACCCUCAAGUCAGUCUCCACAGCAGCCCAUCCUUACCUUCAUCCAUCCCUCUUGCGGUGAAGUCCUCUCUGUUCCCAGGGCUCCAGUGGAAGUGUGCUGCCUGUGUUCUCCGUUGCUGCAUCCCUGUAUCAAGAGAUUUACAAUAAGGAACUUGAACCAUCUGAGUAGUCCUCCUGCUUUUAUGAUUCGCUGGCUUCAGUUGAGACUCAUUAUGUCUAUAACGCUAGUGCAGUGGCUUGACCUAGCAGCUCUUGCUUAAACGUUCUCUUGGGUACUAAUUGGACUAGUUGGGUAGCCCUUUUUAUAUAAUUCACCACACUGUUGCGUUCCUUUUAACCACACCAAAAUUGCACGUGUGAUUCUGAAGGAAAAGGUAUGGACUGAGCAGUGACUUUCACCUCUCCAUGAGCACACAAAGUCACGCGCACUGAAUACGAGCAGACUGUUAAGGCAAGGGAGGGACAGCCUGCUUUUCAGGUGGUCAUCUCUUCACGUUGGUGUGACAAAUGGUAUAUGCAAGUUCAUUUGGGGCUUGAGGGCACAAAACCUGUUAACGCGAUCUUUAUUCAGGAGCGUGUGCAGUUGCCAUGCUCUGAUUGUAGAGGGGAGAAUUCUUCUUGGGCUAAAACUACUGAAUGUGAGGGAGGUUAUGGUCUUUAAAGAGCAUGCGUGAGAAGUCCUUCCAAGGCCUGUAAGCAUACAGGAACCAGGUCUCUGUGAGAUUCCAGGCAGCCUGCAGGGAAUUUGUUUGUUUUGGGACUAGCCAGUGACACAGUGACUAGCCACUGUGCUAGCCAGUGACAAAAAUGCUGCUACCCAGGAUGUUUGUUUGUCCCCGUGUAGCCUGUACUGUGAUGGGGCAAAUAACCGAGCUCCCUCUGGACCAUGUGAACCUGGCUACUUCUGUACAGGAGCUG
This 1735-nucleotide long non-coding RNA is filed under the name Struthio camelus australis. RNAcentral describes it as "lncRNA (ENSSCUG00000012091.1)". Lineage: Eukaryota; Metazoa; Chordata; Aves; Struthioniformes; Struthionidae. The record is from RNAcentral.